Molecule: ribosomal RNA, 610 nt
Filed under: uncultured Actinomycetes bacterium
Lineage: Bacteria; Bacillati; Actinomycetota; Actinomycetes
Description: bacterial SSU rRNA
Rfam family: Bacterial small subunit ribosomal RNA
Source: RNAcentral
CCUUCCACGGUCUCUGCGACGCAGCUAACGCAUUAAGUGCCCCGCCUGGGGAGUACGAUCGCAAGAUUAAAACUCAAAGGAAUUUGACGGGGCCCCGCACAAGCAGCGGAGCAUGCGGCUUAAUUCGACGCAACGCGAAGAACCUUACCAAGGCUUGACAUAUACAGGAAUAUGGCAGAGAUGUCAUAGCCGCAAGGUCUGUAUACAGGUGGUGCAUGGUUGUCGUCAGCUCGUGUCGUGAGAUGUUGGGUUAAGUCCCGCAACGAGCGCAACCCUCGUUCUGUGUUGCCAGCAUUUAGUUGGGGACUCACAGGAGACUGCCGGGGUUAACUCGGAGGAAGGUGGGGAUGACGUCAAAUCAUCAUGCCCCUUAUGUCUUGGGCUGCACGCAUGCUACAAUGGCUGGUACAAACGGCUGCAAUACCGCAAGGUGGAGCGAAUCCGAGAAAGCCAGUCUCAGUUCGGAUUGGGGUCUGCAACUCGACCCCAUGAAGUCGGAGUUGCUAGUAAUCGUAGAUCAGCAACGCUACGGUGAAUACGUUCCCGGGGCUUGUACACACCGCCCGUCACGUCACGAAAGUCGGUAACACCCGAAGUCAGUGGCCCAACC